This 18-nucleotide microRNA is filed under the name Gallus gallus (chicken). Its description in RNAcentral is "microRNA Ros-gga". The record is from RNAcentral. Lineage: Eukaryota; Metazoa; Chordata; Aves; Galliformes; Phasianidae.
CUAGACAGAUGGGCUUCG